GUGCCGGCCGCCGCGGUAAUACGUAGGGUGCAAGCGUUAAUCGGAAUUACUGGGCGUAAAGCGUGCGCAGGCGGUUGUGUAAGUCAGAUGUGAAAUCCCCGGGCUCAACCUGGGAAUUGCAUUUGAGACUGCACGGCUAGAGUGUGUCAGAGGGGGGUAGAAUUCCACGUGUAGCAGUGAAAUGCGUAGAUAUGUGGAGGAAUACCGAUGGCGAAGGCAGCCCCCUGGGAUAACACUGACGCUCAUGCACGAAAGCGUGGGGAGCAAACAGGAUUAGAUACCCCAGUAGUCC
Molecule: ribosomal RNA, 292 nt
Filed under: uncultured Herbaspirillum sp.
Lineage: Bacteria; Pseudomonadati; Pseudomonadota; Betaproteobacteria; Burkholderiales; Oxalobacteraceae
Description: partial 16S ribosomal RNA
Rfam family: Bacterial small subunit ribosomal RNA
Source: RNAcentral